UACGAAGGGGGCUAGCGUUGCUCGGAAUCACUGGGCGUAAAGCGCACGUAGGCGGACUCUUAAGUCGGGGGUGAAAGCCCAGGGCUCAACCCUGGAACUGCCUUCGAUACUGGGAGUCUUGAGUGUGGUAGAGGUUGGUGGAACUGCGAGUGUAGAGGUGAAAUUCGUAGAUAUUCGCAAGAACACCAGUGGCGAAGGCGGCCAACUGGACCAUUACUGACGCUGAGGUGCGAAAGCGUGGGGAGCAAACAGG
Molecule: ribosomal RNA, 253 nt
Filed under: uncultured bacterium
Lineage: Bacteria
Description: partial 16S ribosomal RNA
Rfam family: Bacterial small subunit ribosomal RNA
Source: RNAcentral